AAUUCGUGCAUCAUCGAACUCUUUCUCUCUUUCUCUUCCCGUUUCGUUCCUUCUUUUCUUCGAUCUGAAUCCUCAAAACUCUGAAACUACGUCGUUUUGAAACUCGAACAGAGAUCUUCCUUCUCUUAAAUCUUCCUAGCGAUCUCUUAAACGCAAACCCUUAUCUCUCUCUCUCUCUCUCUCUCUGGUUUCGAUCGCUUAUUCACCUCUCUAUUUCCUCUCAUCCAAAAACCCUCCCAAACUUUUAUUCAUUCUACGCUAUAAAGUUGAAACCACGAACCAUUUUCAUCUCAGGUUGCCUGAAAUUUGUUUGAAUGACCCUGCAACGACAGUUGAAAUAUGACAUCAAGUAUGUUGUCUGGAGAUCGAAGAUGGGCUUCCUCUUCGGGCAAAAGAGGGGGCUUGACUGUUCUGGGGAAAGUUGUCGUUCCAAAGCCUAUCAACUUACCCAGUCAAAGGUCCGAAAAUCAUGGGAUGGAUCCAAAUGUUGAGAUUGUACCCAAGGGUACCCUUGGCUGGGGCAGUAAAUCAUCUUGUCCAUGGGGUUCCUCAUCACUUUCUCCUAAUACUGAUGGUGGUGGCUCACCAAGUUAUCUAAGUGGCUGCCCUUCUGCUGGAAGUGGCACUCGCCCUUCAACUGCAAACAGUGAUAGAGCUCAUGAACCUACGAUUUGUGUUAGUGGUCCAAAUUCUCGGCCAUCAUCAGCUUCUGGGGCAUUGACAUCAAGCCAGACAUCACUGAUAGCAUUGCGUCCCCGAAGUGCGGAAACAAGACCUGGUAGUUCUCAGCUUUCACGGUUUGCUGAGCACUCUGAACAUCAAGUGGCAUGGAAUGCUGCUGGGACUGCAGAAAAAUUGGGCGUAACACCACCCAAGAAUGAUGGAUUUUCUCUUACUUCUGGAGACUUUCCGACACUUGGUUCAGGAAAAGAAAGUUCUGAUCAGAGUUCUCAUAGCCGUCCUGGCUCAUCCUCCAGUGGAUUAGGAACAACUAAAGAGAGGAUCAGGACUUCUGGAGCUGGUGAUCUUUCUACAAGAGACACUGUAAAAACUGACACAGUGAAUUCUUGGAAAAGAGAUAGUCCACCAUACUGUGAAGAUGGAGUUAGACCUGGUCCGGAAAAGUGGCAGGGGAAUAACCAAACUUACCCUGCCCCUCCACAGCAUUAUGAAUAUGAUGGCUGGUGUGGUGCUCCAUUAAAUAAUCCUCAAGGGGGUGUUUGGUUUAGAGGACCUUCGGGAGGUCCUUAUGGAAACCCAGUUGCUGGUGGUGGUUAUCCAAUGGAACCCUUCCCAUAUUAUCAUCAACAGAUGCCCGCUGCUGGUCUUCCCAACCCACAGCCAGUUCCCUCACCUGGAGCUGGGCCAAGAGGUCCUCAUCCUAAAAAUGGGGAUAUGUACAGACCUCAUAUGCCAGAUGCAUUCAUUCGCCCAGGUAUGCCUAUGCAGCCUGGUUUUUAUCCUGCUCCAGUAGCCUACGAGGGUUACUAUGGUCCUCCUAUGGGCUAUUGCAGUUCAAAUGAACGUGAUGUUCCUUUUAUGGGAAUGGCAGCUCGUCCUGUUUAUAACAUGUACCCAGGCCAAGGUGCUCCUGAGCCUGGGAAUUCCCAUGGAAGGUCCACUGGAUAUGCCUCUACCAACCAGACACAGAUAGGAGAACAAGUGGAAUUAGUUCAUCCCCAGGAUAAUCGUGGACCAUACAAGGUCCUUCUGAAGCAGCAUGAUGGUUACGAUAGAAAAACUGAGGAACAUAGAAGCCAGAGUGCCACUGAGGCAUCAAGGGGAGAUCAGCCAAGAACAACUUCAUACUGGGAAGAUGAUUGGAGAUCAUAUAAAAAGGAUGAGGUAAGGGAUUUAAGGAAAGCCCCUGUCGAAGAAGCUUCAUUUCAGAAUUCCGACAACAAAGGUGCUGCUUUAGUCCCUGACAAAGUGAAGUCUGCUAGUAUUGGGGGAAACACGAAGACCAAUGAUGAUAUUUCAGGAAAGAAAUUGGAAAGUGAGGCCUUGGGUUUGUCAAAAGCUUCACCACUUCCAGCUGCCCCAAAAGAUUCCAGUCUGAUCCAGAGCUUAGAAGAAUUAAAUACAAAAGCACGAGUUUCUGAUGGACAUAGUGAAACCAUAAUUGCCUCCAGUGGGGAAGAUCGAAAAAUUAAUUUUCAAGCUAAUGCAAAAGCUAUGCAGAAUAGGAAUGAAUCUGGGGGCAGCUCCUCGUAUCCUGAGAGAACUUACACCACUGAUAUUAGCAACUCCAACAGCCGAAAAGUUGGCUUGUCUGGGGGUAAUAAGAACCUUGAUUCAAAAGUUGGCUCUGAAACAAACACCUCCAGGAUAUCUACACAUUCCUCACAAUCCAGAGGUGAUCAUUAUGGUAGAGGAAGAUUUAUUACUCAGGAGGUUGAAGGGUGGCAAAAGAAGCCUUCAAUUUCUGAGUCUGCAGCGGUGCACUCAGAAACUUCUAAUAUUCAUGUGCAUGAUCACCACCAUGGAUCUCAUAAUGAUACUCAAAAUUCAGGGUCUGGGUUACUUCCUCGUGGCAAGCUUGAGGGACAAUCUUUGCUGCCAAUGUUAGAUCGAAGUGAUAACCAGACCCAGCGAGCAAAGAAUAAGGAGCUGGCCAAGCUAAAAGCCAAGCAACUACAGGAGGAAGAGGAGGAGCGGAAUAAGAAGCAGACGGCCGGGGCUCUUGCAAAGUUGGAAGAAUUGAAUAGGCGAACAAAAGCAGUAGAAGAGUCAGCUCAGAACUGGGAAAAUGCUUCAAGUGGUGCUGUCCAGAAUAAACAAGAACAAUCUCAGUCUUCUGGUGAAUCCUUUAUACCUGGCAUGAGCUAUGGGCCGCCAAAGACAGCUUUGGGUUCUAAAUCAAAUGUAGUUGCUCAGGUUAAUGAGAGCUACACAAGUGGAGUUGAAAAAUCCUCUUUACCAUGUGGUGAACUACCUUUAGAGGCUCCAAAGGGUGUAUCUGGGGAACCUCCAAGGAUUCAUGCUCAAUCUAUGUCCUUGCAGCAUGAGGUUAAUGGUGUUAUUGCUGCUCAUCACGGUAAUGUUUCUCAAACUCAUGAAAGUAAUGUAUCUAAACAGAAGCAUACAGGUUUUAAGCAAAAGCAAGGCACCACAGCUGAGGUGCCAAAAUUUCAGGAAGCUGUAGAAGAUAAUGUUACUUCUUUUGGUGUUGUAGCCAAGGAAGUUCUCCCGAGUGGUGGGUCAACUGCCCCUUUAAUUUCAAAUGCCAGUGCUGAUUCCUCUCUACAACCAAGAAAGAAAAAUAGUAAGAACGGAAAGAACAAGCACAAGUUAGAAGAUGCUUCACUAGUUUCUACUUCAUCACCAUUGGGAUCUAAAGAGAACCCUGCAAAUUUUUCUCGUGAAAAUUCUCAGCCAAAGGCAUCUGAAUCUCAGUUGGAUCCUACUGCAGUUCAGUUGCACUCCAUUUCUAGAGAUGUAGACCGGCCUUUAGAGCAACACCCAUCGUCACCUGAGGACUCUCAUGGUAGAGUAAACAGCCAAUUGAAAACUCAACAGUCACGCAGGAUGCCUAGAAAUGCACAAGGUAAUAGACCUGCAGAAAAGCUUCAUGGCAGUGAUGCAGUUGUCUGGGCACCCGUUCGUUCACAGAACAAAGCUGAGAUUACUGAUGAAGCCAGCCCUAAAAAUGUAGUUGAUGUCGUUGGUCCUUUUGUCAAGCCUGAUCACCAUGUACAGAAUAAUUUGAAAAAUAAGAGGGCAGAGAUGGAGAGGUAUGUUCCUAAACCUGUAGCAAAAGAAAUGGCACAACAUGGAGGUAAUCACCAUCUUGUGACUUCUGAAGUCAAUCAGACUAUUUUUGAUGAAUCUACUGCAAGAGCAAAUUCUGAAAGUAUUCAUAGUCCUGGGAUGGUUGCUGGGAAAACGGGUUUCUCUGCUGAUCCCCGUAAUGGGAUUGGCAGGCAUAAUAAACAGGGGAAAGCACAGGGGUCAUGGCGGCAACGGGUGUCAACGGAAUCAACCAGUACACAAGUUUUUCAAGAUGUGCCAUCAUAUACAAGUCAUGGCCAGAAUAAGCCAAAACCAAAUGAACAUCAGCACCCCCCAAACCCUGAUGCAAGCUCAGUGCAAGAGCAACAAAAGUGUACUGGUGAAUGGGGCACUAAUGAUGGCUGGAGCAUUUCUAACAAUUCUAGCUCUGUUGAACCUGUCUCAGUGUCUACAGUAAUAGACCAGGGAGUUGCAGUUAGAGGAAAGCGACAUGGAUUCAAGGGACACAAAGGCAUGGGGAAUAAUUGUGAUGUCGAUCAAAAGAAAAUCAAUAAUAGGGAGAAUGACAAAAAUUACACUCAAUCUUCAACCUCUGAGACGAGUCAGAUAGAGGUGUCUGCUGCUUCAAAAGAAGAUCGAGUUAUUGGGGAAAAUUCAAUGUCUCAUUGGCAACCCAAGGCUCAGGCAGUUUCAACUGGUCAUCAACGGGGUAUCAGACAUAAUAUUAGUCAAAAUGUUGGUGCUGAAGUUGCUUGGACUAACAAAUUGCAAUCCAAUCGGCAUGAUGGAGUGUUACCACCACCAACCCAUGACAAAGUUACUAAUAAUUCUUUAGGCCAGAUUCAUCGUGAUCAGCUAGUUUCUGAAAAAAACAAUGCCGAGGAUGCAUCACAUGCUAGGCUGCAAGAGCCUAGAAGAGAGAGGAAGUCUGCUUCAUUCAAGGGGAACCCCCACUUUCCAAACAAAGGUCCUGCUAAUCCAGUUGAACCACCCCCAGUGAAAGUGGAUGUUCAACAGGACCAACAAUUCCGCAAAAGUGGAAACCAGAACAGGCGAUUCAGCAAAGCUCAAGAGUCUCGUGGAGAUUGGAAUUACUCUGGACAAGAUAACAAGCAAAAUAACCCACCUCCAAACAGGGAAAGACCAAGGCAAGGUUCACAUUAUGAGUAUCAACCAGUUGGGCCAUACAACAAUAAGUCUAGCAGUUCUGAUGGACCUAAAGAUGGUACUGAUAAUUCAGGUGGUAGGGUUCGGGGGAGGGGGGGCCAGAAUCACUCAAGACGUGGUGGGGGUGGUAACUUUAAUGUACGACAAAGUGGAGUUCAAGUUGACGCCGGUUAUGAGUAGUACCUUUAUGGACAGCAAAGUGGAGUUCACGUAGACACUGGUUAUGGUUAGUGGAUUAUACAAGGAAAGUCUCAACUCUCAAGGCCCGGUUUUGAAAUCCGACUUUCGUGGUUUGUAGUGGCAGCUUUGAUCAUAUUACCAGGAGGUGGAGAAGGUAUGCUGAUCAUCGGCGGCAACAACAACAUAACGGAGUAUAUUUGAAGUUUGGGGUAUUUGGAUGUGGAAUAUUUUUUUAAUUUUAAUUUUUAACAGAUGUAUCUUAAAUGAACAUUGCAGUUGGUCCCGGCUUGUUUCCUGUGGAACCCUUGUAUUUAGCGACACUUUAUUCCUCUUUUAAAAUGUCAAAACGCUGUGGGGAGGGGGAAUGAAUUAGAAAAGUUUUUUGGUUCUCAAUCUCAUUUGUGUUCAAGAUGGAUGUGUAGGACCUAAACAUUUGUAUUUGCAUUUCUCCCAGUUUCUUGCUCUGCCUGAGCCUAAAAAGCCUGUAAAAGGAUUGUCUUAUAUGUGUAUAUUAUGUUUGUUCAAUUCCUCUAAUUGUAAUCAACUUUGGAA
This is an RNA transcript of Humulus lupulus (European hop), 5631 nucleotides long. It is a transcript of the gene named protein MODIFIER OF SNC1 1-like, with no coding region annotated. The transcript has 11 exons. The record is from RefSeq and is a predicted model, not a curated record. Lineage: Eukaryota; Viridiplantae; Streptophyta; Magnoliopsida; Rosales; Cannabaceae.